AACGAACGCUGGCGGCAGGCUUAACACAUGCAAGUCGAGCGCCCCGCAAGGGGAGCGGCAGACGGGUGAGUAACGCGUGGGAAUCUACCUUUUGCUACGGAAUAACUCAGGGAAACUUGUGCUAAUACCGUAUGUGCCCUUCGGGGGAAAGAUUUAUCGGCAAAGGAUGAGCCCGCGUUGGAUUAGCUAGUUGGUGGGGUAAAGGCCUACCAAGGCGACGAUCCAUAGCUGGUCUGAGAGGAUGAUCAGCCACAUUGGGACUGAGACACGGCCCAAACUCCUACGGGAGGCAGCAGUGGGGAAUAUUGGACAAUGGGCGCAAGCCUGAUCCAGCCAUGCCGCGUGAGUGAUGAAGGCCUUAGGGUUGUAAAGCUCUUUCACCGGUGAAGAUAAUGACUGUAGCCGGAGAAGAAGCCCCGGCUAACUUCGUGCCAGCCGCCGCCGUAA
This 447-nucleotide ribosomal RNA is filed under the name uncultured bacterium. RNAcentral describes it as "partial 16S ribosomal RNA". It matches the Rfam family "Bacterial small subunit ribosomal RNA", at positions 29 to 523 of the family's 1533-position model. The record is from RNAcentral.